GUGCCAGCCGCCGCGGUAAUACAGAGGUCUCAAGCGUUGUUCGGAUUCAUUGGGCGUAAAGGGUGCGUAGGCGGCGCGGUAAGUCGGGUGUGAAAUCUCGGAGCUUAACUCCGAAACUGCAUUCGAUACUGGCGUGCUUGAGGACUGGAGAGGAGACUGGAAUUCAUGGUGUAGCAGUGAAAUGCGUAGAGAUCAUGAGGAAGACCAGUGGCGAAGGCGGGUCUCUGGACAGUUCCUGACACUGAGACACGAAGGCCAGGGGAGCAAACGGGAUUAGAUACCCCGGUAGUCC
Molecule: ribosomal RNA, 292 nt
Filed under: uncultured bacterium
Lineage: Bacteria
Description: partial 16S ribosomal RNA
Rfam family: Bacterial small subunit ribosomal RNA
Source: RNAcentral